This 462-nucleotide ribosomal RNA is filed under the name uncultured bacterium. RNAcentral's name for it is "partial 16S ribosomal RNA". It matches the Rfam family "Bacterial small subunit ribosomal RNA", at positions 28 to 507 of the family's 1533-position model. The record is from RNAcentral.
GAUGAACGCUGACAGAAUGCUUAACACAUGCAAGUCUUUGGCGAAGCUGUGCUUGCACCGCCUAGCCAAGGCGGACGGGUGAGUAACGCGUAAGGAACUUGCCCUGCAGUCAGGGAUAACAGACGGAAACGACUGAUAAGACCUGGUAAAGUCAGGCGGACUCAUGUCCAGCCUGAUGAAAAGAGAUGCUGCAGGAGAGCCUUGCGUCCUAUUAGCUUGUUGGUGGGGUAACGGCCCACCAAGGCGAUGAUAGGUAGCCGGCCUGAGAGGGUGGACGGCCACAAGGGGACUGAGAUACGGCCCUUACUCCUACGGGAGGCAGCAGUGGGGAAUAUUGGACAAUGGGGGCAACCCUGAUCCAGCAAUUCGGUGUGCACGAUGAAGGUUUUCGGAUUGUAAAGUGCUUUCAGCAGGGAAGAAAAAAUGACGGUACCUGCAGAAGAAGCGACGGCUAAAUACGUG